This 479-nucleotide ribosomal RNA is filed under the name uncultured organism. RNAcentral describes it as "partial 16S ribosomal RNA". It matches the Rfam family "Bacterial small subunit ribosomal RNA", at positions 331 to 801 of the family's 1533-position model. The record is from RNAcentral.
GUACACUCCUGCGGGAGGCAGCAGUGGGGAAUUUUGGACAAUGGGCGAAAGCCUGAUCCAGCAAUGCCGCGUGCAGGAUGAAGGCCUUCGGGUUGUAAACUGCUUUUGUACGGAACGAAAAAGCUCCUUCUAAUACAGGGGGCCCAUGACGGUACCGUAAGAAUAAGCACCGGCUAACUACGUGCCAGCAGCCGCGGUAAUACGUAGGGUGCGAGCGUUAAUCGGAAUUACUGGGCGUAAAGCGUGCGCAGGCGGUUAUGUAAGACAGAUGUGAAAUCCCCGGGCUCAACCUGGGAACUGCAUUGGUGACUGCAUGGCUAGAGUACGGUAGAGGGGGAUGGAAUUCCGCGUGUAGCAGUGAAAUGCGUAGAUAUGCGGAGGAACACCGAUGGCGAAGGCAAUCCCCUGGACCUGUACUGACGCUCAUGCACGAAAGCGUGGGGAGCAAACAGGAUUAGAAACCCCGGUAGUCCCAUGAU